UACGGAGGGUGCGAGCGUUAAUCGGAAUCACUGGGCGUAAAGCGCGCGUAGGCGGCUUUUCAAGUCAGGGGUGAAAUCCCACGGCCCAACCGUGGAACUGCCUUUGAAACUGUAGAGCUUGAGUGUCGGAGAGGGUGGCGGAAUUCCAGGUGUAGGAGUGAAAUCCGUAGAUAUCUGGAGGAACACCGGUGGCGAAGGCGGCUUCCUGGUCUGCAACUGACACUGAGGCGCGAAAGCGUGGGGAGCAAACAGG
Molecule: ribosomal RNA, 253 nt
Filed under: uncultured bacterium
Lineage: Bacteria
Description: partial 16S ribosomal RNA
Rfam family: Bacterial small subunit ribosomal RNA
Source: RNAcentral